This is a long non-coding RNA of Gorilla gorilla gorilla (western lowland gorilla), 1137 nucleotides long. RefSeq lists it as uncharacterized. NCBI's taxonomy places the organism in Eukaryota, Metazoa, Chordata, Mammalia, Primates, Hominidae. The record is from RefSeq and is a predicted model, not a curated record. The transcript is spliced from 4 exons.
GGAGGCCCCUUGGCUGUUCCCGCAAAGGGUCGGGGGGCGCAUUUUCUCUCCCGCCAGCCAGCUCCAUCCUGGUCAUUUAUUCCCGGCCUUCCCUCACCCCCCACCCCCACAGCCUGCUGUAUGUAAAUAGGGAAAUAGAUCUACACGGACACAAUAAUUUAGCUUGCGGAAACCAGACGACCCAGCGGCCACAGGACGAGUCGCCCCAACUCAACCCCAGCAGGACGCUGGAGGGGCCUCCCUCGCCCACCUCUCUUCACUGGCACUGGCCUCCCGCACCCGGGUCUGCAGUCCCUCCGCCAUCUCACAGGUGUGCAGCCGCUAGGCCUGGGGGAUCCGAAUGACUGGGGCUGGAUAGGAAUGCCUUCGUGUUUCCCAAGACCCCCGGGCCUGCUCCACAAAGUUUGAAGGGAGCUCAGAGAUGCCCGGGAAGACGGGGUGCCCGAAGGGAAGCAGAAAAACACUUAUGGCCGCUGGGAAGUUGGGAGAGCCAGGCUGGGGCUCCGGCAGGCCCAGGGAAAGUUCCCUUUCUAGGCUCUAUAUUAAAAAAUUUAAAAGGGGGAGUUGAGGCGCCUUGAAUUUGCCUUCGCGAGUUUGGAGACCAGCCGAUUUUUCAUGAAGCAAGCAAAGACCGCGGUCCCGGAUCCUGCAACAUAUACCUCAUUUUCUCCAGGCCUCUCCACUUGCCCGAGCUCUCAGCCACCAGGAGACAGACGGAAGGGGCUUCUGGGCUGCGUUGGGAGCGGGCACUGUCCCCUACCCACUCCUGCACAGUUUCCCAAAGUCCAGCGACCUCCGACCCUCCUUGGGGGAAAAAAUACCAGUACCCAGACACCUCUGCACCCUGUUAUAUGACUGGGCUUGCUUCAGGAAUAUCUUACAAAGAAGAAGAAGAAGGAGGAGGAGGAAUGGCUUGGAGUAAUGUUUACAUCUAGUUCUACUGAUCCGUUCACAUCUGGAGAGUUUAUUUAUAACUCCCUCUAUAACUCUCUGUUUGGAGGCACUGGUGGCUCUACUGACAGACUGAUGUCUAGGAAAUAUUGCUCUAUGUCUAACCGUACCUAAAUGUGCUGUGGUUGUAUUUACAGAUUUACGUUUGAGGGAAAUAUAAUUAUUUCCAUUGUAUUUGUGCAUAUA